RNAcentral lists this long non-coding RNA (1002 nucleotides) under Setaria viridis. RNAcentral describes it as "long non-coding RNA (SVIR_LNC004989)". The record is from RNAcentral. Lineage: Eukaryota; Viridiplantae; Streptophyta; Magnoliopsida; Poales; Poaceae.
GACAGGAACUUGGAACAAGUGGUUCAAGCAUUCAGAUUUGUCCUUGCCUAAAAACAAGCAUUCAAAAUUGUUCUCUGAUUCUUUCACAAAGAAUUGAUUUUUUUCUACUAGUUUUCUAUUCUUCUUUUUGUGCAGAGAAAAGAUUAUCCCCUUUCAGAGGAGAAAUGCUACGCGAGCAUCUAGCCCAAUGAAGAGUUGAUAAAUGAAACGUACCAUGGACGGAUAGACUAAGCUAAUGAGAAGGGGUAAUAUUGAUUCAUAGAAACGUCAAAAGGUAACAAAAGGAUGAAUGUGAGGCAGGGAACCCAAGGUAGGAGGUACUGCACUAAAAGUUUGGUUUAGCACCAACGAGAGAAAUACAAGUUGUAACAAAUUGCAGUCUUGGUCCCCAUAUAAUCACUCAACCCUAUGAAGGAUAUGCUACAGAUAUAAUGGAGUCCAUUCGGAAGGCACGAGGAGAAGCAAAUUAUGGAUGAAAUGGGCGGGAGCAUGGUCAAAUCAGUCCUCAAAUCUAGACUUAACCUAGCUACAUAUAUAUAUAUGUAACAUCAUAAACAAUACCGAACAUGCAUGGUCCCAAGAGGACAAUUAACAGAACCAAUGGGAGCAUCAAGCUUAGAGGCAUAUCCUCCCUCUAACCCCACACCCCACAGGCAAAUUAAAGUGCAGGCUGUGCAUACAUUGAACUUCCUGAAUAGGCUUUAUCGCUUCACAUGAUCUUUCCCCUACCACUAGUCACAUGAUCUAUGGAACUUUGAUGUGAUAAGAAUAGACUAAAGUCAAAAAAACCAAUUUGCUCAACCUAGCAAUCAAUCUUUAAUUGACAACCUACAAAGAUUCCCUUAUCCCAGGCCACUUUUAUCGAUUAGUUAAUCUUUUCAGUCUUAAUCGUAGAGACAACGAUCAUUCCUAUACUUAAAUCUUCUUUGGCCUUUCUUGAUGCUCUAGUUGUGAGAAUAUAUUUGCGUAAAAAGUGUUUUGGACUUUUAAUGGCUAUUAUUU